GGUGAGUAACACGUAGGCAACCUGCCUGUAAGACUGGGAUAACUCGUGGAAACGCGAGCUAAUACCGGAUAACACUUUUCAUCUCCUGAUGAGAAGUUGAAAGGCGGCUUUUGCUGUCACUUACAGAUGGGCCUGCGGCGCAUUAGCUAGUUGGUAAGGUAACGGCUUACCAAGGCGACGAUGCGUAGCCGACCUGAGAGGGUGAUCGGCCACACUGGGACUGAGACACGGCCCAGACUCCUACGGGAGGCAGCAGUAGGGAAUCUUCCGCAAUGGACGAAAGUCUGACGGAGCAACGCCGCGUGAGUGAUGAAGGUUUUCGGAUCGUAAAACUCUGUUGUUAGGGAAGAACAAGUACUAUAGUAACUGAUGGUACCUUGACGGUACCUAACCAGAAAGCCACGGCUAACUACGUGCCAGCAGCCGCGGUAAUACGUAGGUGGCAAGCGUUGUCCGGAAUUAUUGGGCGUAAAGCGCUCGCAGGCGGUUCUUUAAGUCUGAUGUGAAAUCUUACGGCUCAACCGUAAACGUGCAUUGGAAACUGGGGAACUUGAGUGCAGAAGAGGAGAGUGGAAUUCCACGUGUAGCGGUGAAAUGCGUAGAGAUGUGGAGGAACACCAGUGGCGAAGGCGACUCUCUGGUCUGUAACUGACGCUGAGGAGCGAAAGCGUGGGGAGCGAACAGGAUUAGAUACCCUGGUAGUCCACGCCGUAAACGAUGAGUGCUAGGUGUUAGGGGGUUUCCGCCCCUUAGUGCUGAAGUUAACGCAUUAAGCACUCCGCCUGGGGAGUACGGCCGCAAGGCUGAAACUCAAAAGAAUUGACGGGGGCCCGCACAAGCGGUGGAGCAUGUGGUUUAAUUCGAAGCAACGCGAAGAACCUUACCAGGUCUUGACAUCCUCUGAACACUCUAGAGAUAGAGUUUUCCCUUCGGGGACAGAGUGACAGGUGGUGCAUGGUUGUCGUCAGCUCGUGUCGUGAGAUGUUGGGUUAAGUCCCGCAACGAGCGCAACCCUUGAUCUUAGUUGCCAGCAUUAAGUUGGGCACUCUAAGGUGACUGCCGGUGACAAACCGGAGGAAGGUGGGGAUGACGUCAAAUCAUCAUGCCCCUUAUGACCUGGGCUACACACGUGCUACAAUGGAUGGAACAAAGGGAAGCGAACCCGCGAGGUCAAGCAAAUCCCACAAA
RNAcentral lists this ribosomal RNA (1188 nucleotides) under Oceanobacillus sp. BRI 43. RNAcentral describes it as "bacterial SSU rRNA". It matches the Rfam family "Bacterial small subunit ribosomal RNA", at positions 105 to 1280 of the family's 1533-position model. Lineage: Bacteria; Bacillati; Bacillota; Bacilli; Caryophanales; Bacillaceae. The record is from RNAcentral.